GUCUGUGUAGAUUAAAAAGAUCCUAGUGCUGUUAACUCUACGGUGGUGGUGAAACGCCCACAGGCG
Molecule: transfer RNA, 66 nt
Filed under: Khawia sinensis
Lineage: Eukaryota; Metazoa; Platyhelminthes; Cestoda; Caryophyllidea; Lytocestidae
Description: tRNA-Asn
Source: RNAcentral